This 445-nucleotide ribosomal RNA is filed under the name uncultured bacterium. RNAcentral's name for it is "bacterial SSU rRNA". It matches the Rfam family "Bacterial small subunit ribosomal RNA", at positions 354 to 796 of the family's 1533-position model. The record is from RNAcentral.
GUAAGGAAUAUUGGACAAUGGGCGCAAGCCUGAUCCAGCCAUGCCGCGUGAAGGAUGAAGGCCCUAUGGGUCGUAAACUUCUUUUAUACGGGAAAAAACCCCUUGAUGCGUCGAGGGUUGAUGGUACUGUAAGAAUAAGGGUCGGCUAACUUCGUGCCAGCAGCCGCGGUAAUACGAAGGACCCGAGCGUUAUCCGGAUUUAUUGGGUUUAAAGGGUGCGUAGGCGGAUUAGUAAGUCAGUGGUGAAAGCCUCUCGCUCAACGGGAGAACUGCCAUUGAUACUGCUAGUCUUGAGUAUGGUUGAGGUGGGCGGAAUGUGUCAUGUAGCGGUGAAAUGCUUAGAUAUGACACAGAACACCGAUUGCGAAGGCAGCUCGCUAAGCCAUAACUGACGCUGAGGCACGAAAGCGUGGGGAGCAAACAGGAUUAGAAACCCUUGUAGUCC